GCUAAGGUUAGGGUUAGGGUUAGUGUUAGGGUUAGUGCUAGGGUUAGGUUUAGAAUAAGGGUUAGGAUAAGGGCUAAGGUUAGGGUUAGGGUUAGUGCUAGGGUUAGGUUUAGAAUAAGGGUUAGGAUAAGGGCUAAGGUUAGGGUUAGUGCUAGGGUUAGUGCUAGGGUUAGGUUUAGAAUAAGGGUUAGGAUAAGGGCUAAGGUUAGGGUUAGGGUUAGUGCUAGGGUUAGUGUUAGGGUUAGGUUUAGAAUAAGGGUUAGGAUAAGGUUAGGGUUAGGGUUAGUGUUAGGGUUAGUGCUAGGGUUAGGUUUAGAAUAAGGGUUAGGAUAAGGGCUAAGGUUAGGGUUAGGGUUAGUGCUAGGGUUAGGUUUAGAAUAAGGGUUAGGAUAAGGGCUAAGGUUAGGGUUAGUGCUAGGGUUAGUGCUAGGGUUAGGUUUAGAAUAAGGGUUAGGAUAAGGGCUAAGGUUAGGGUUAGGGUUAGUGUUAGGGUUAGUGCUAGGGUUAGGUUUAGAAUAAGGGUUAGGAUAAGGGCUAAAAUUAGGGUUAGUGCUAGGGUUAGUGCUAGGGUUAGGUUUAGAAUAAGGGUUAGGAUAAGGGCUAAGGUUAGUGUUAGUGCUAGGGUUAGUGCUAGGGUUAGGUUUAGAAUAAGGGUUAGGAUAAGGGCUAAGGUUAGGGUUAGGGUUAGUGCUAGGGUUAGGUUUAGAAUAAGGGUUAGGAUAAGGGCUAAGGUUAGGGUUAGGGUUAGUGCUAGGGUUAGUGUUAGGGUUAGGUUUAGAAUAAGGGUUAGGAUAAGGGCUAAGGUUAGGGUUAGGGUUAGUGCUAGGGUUAGGUUUAGAAUAAGGGUUAGGAUAAGGGCUAAGGUUAGGGUUAGG
Long non-coding RNA from Oncorhynchus tshawytscha (Chinook salmon), 875 nucleotides. The record is from Ensembl. Lineage: Eukaryota; Metazoa; Chordata; Actinopteri; Salmoniformes; Salmonidae.